Molecule: long non-coding RNA, 1198 nt
Organism: Neofelis nebulosa (Clouded leopard)
Lineage: Eukaryota; Metazoa; Chordata; Mammalia; Carnivora; Felidae
Exons: 2
Source: RefSeq, a predicted model, not a curated record
CAGAAAUAACAGCAUCCUGGCUUUGCAAGGUGGAUAGAACCAGCCGGGCGAUCUGCGCCGAGGGCCGCCGGGGAACUCACGGAAGGAUGAAAUGAGGCGUGUGGGUGUCAACAGAAAGGUCCCCUCGAGGUGAAACCAGCAAGGGGGUGGGGAGUCAGGCCAGUCCUGAGGGGCCUGAAAAGCCGAUUAUCCAGCCAGGACGCUCACGGAGACGGAUGCCAUCGGGGCGACGAGGGACCCCAGAGGAGAAAGGCUGUCCCAGACAGUGUGGAUGGAGACGGUCAGGGGCCGGGGUGUCAGGAGGCCGGAGGAUCCCGAGAAUCACACUGAGGCCCCACCCAGGCCCUGGCUCAGUGGCUGAGGGAUUUUCCAGGCUGGGGGACAUCUGAGCGCCCGAGGCCUCCCAAGUCUCCCAGGCAGACACCGAGCUCCCAAAUGUGGCCCGAGUCCCCCUCCUGCCUGGGAGGAAGCUGGAAAACUUAGGCUGAGGCCUCCGACCCCCGAGGACCAUGGAGUUUGCUGUGAAUCAUGGGAAUGAGAUGUGGCCAGGGGGCGCUUUGCAGACCCUUUGACUCUGCGAGCGUCUGAGUUGCUACUAGAAAAUUUUCAACUCCAACCAUGGCCUGCUUUAUCCUUCUACCAGACAGCAACGUACUAGCAGUUCUGCAGGAAACGUGUCCGUCCUUCCUUCCGCAGAGAUGAGACAGAGGGGAAGAGGGUCCCCGCUAUUUUUUGCUCCCCGAGGGUGAAGACGCGAGCCUGACAUCCUGAAGAAGGGCAGGAGGUCAGCAACCUCAGUGGUGCCAAACGUGAGGCAGGAAUCUGAUUUAGGAAAAGAAGUUCCCGAUUUUCCUGAUUUCGUUGAAUUACUUUAAAUGUCUAUUGAUUGAUGGAUUUGGGGAGAGAGUGAGCACACGCGAGCGGGGUAGGGCCGGAGAGAGAGGGAGAGAGAGGGAAAAUCCCAAGCAGGCUCCAGACUCCGCACAGAUCCCCUCGUGGGGCUUGAGCUCUCCACCGCGCGCACAGCCGAAAUCAAGAGUCCGUGGCUCAAUCCACUGAGCCAGCCGGGUGCCCCUGAUUUAUUUAGACUAUAGAUCCAUCUGGGGGUGGUGAAGGGAGAAGACGGUGGGGGACUUUCGUGCUUCCCAGCCGGGUUAGGACACCCGAUUGGCAUCUCAAAUAAACAAAGAAUAUUUUA